Hibiscus syriacus is the source of this 336-nucleotide long non-coding RNA. RefSeq lists it as uncharacterized. NCBI's taxonomy places the organism in Eukaryota, Viridiplantae, Streptophyta, Magnoliopsida, Malvales, Malvaceae. The transcript is spliced from 3 exons. The record is from RefSeq and is a predicted model, not a curated record.
AUGAGCAUGCAUAUCCUGGUAGUGAAUUUGAUGAUUCAAGUGAGGCUGACAGCUUAAGUGGUAGUAGUAGUUGCCUGAGCAACCGCCAAGAGGAAGUGGGAGAUGAAUUUGGAGGUCUUGCUGAAAUUGAGUCCGGUUCAUCUGUCAAUUAUUCUUUCAGUAAUUUCUCAUUUAAGAAUCUGUCCCAGCUGGCCAAGUUUGAUUACAGAUUGGCCAACAACAUCGAUGACGAGCUACAAAAGUUGCGUUGACGGGCUAAUUAUCAUGCUUUAAGAUUUACGAAACCUAUUCAAGAACUUGGGCAGAAACUUGUAACGAGAAUGCGUGCGAUGGCAA